RNAcentral lists this ribosomal RNA (253 nucleotides) under uncultured bacterium. RNAcentral's name for it is "partial 16S ribosomal RNA". It matches the Rfam family "Bacterial small subunit ribosomal RNA", at positions 524 to 776 of the family's 1533-position model. The record is from RNAcentral.
UACGGAGGGUGCUAGCGUUGUUCGGAAUCACUGGGCGUAAAGGGCGUGUAGGCGGUCUGUUAAGUCUGAUGUGAAAUCCCCUCGCUUAACGAGGGAACUGCGUCGGAUACUGGCAGACUCGAGUACCGGAGAGGAAGGUGGAAUUCCCGGUGUAGCGGUGGAAUGCGUAGAUAUCGGGAGGAACACCGGUGGCGAAGGCGGCCUUCUGGACGGAUACUGACGCUGAGACGCGAAAGCGUGGGGAGCAAACAGG